RNAcentral lists this ribosomal RNA (250 nucleotides) under uncultured bacterium. RNAcentral's name for it is "partial 16S ribosomal RNA". It matches the Rfam family "Bacterial small subunit ribosomal RNA", at positions 524 to 773 of the family's 1533-position model. The record is from RNAcentral.
UACGGAGGAUCCAAGCGUUAUCCGGAAUCAUUGGGUUUAAAGGGUCCGUAGGCGGUUUUAUAAGUCAGUGGUGAAAUCCGGCGGCUCAACUGUCGAAUUGCCAUUGAUACUGUAGGACUUGAAUCAUUGUGAAGUAACUAGAAUAUGUAGUGUAGCGGUGAAAUGCUUAGAUAUUACAUGGAAUACCGAUUGCGAAGGCAGGUUACUAACAAUGUAUUGACGCUGAUGAACGAAAGCGUGGGGAGCGAAC